This 1145-nucleotide long non-coding RNA is filed under the name Parus major (Great Tit). RNAcentral's name for it is "lncRNA (ENSPMJG00000007394.1)". Lineage: Eukaryota; Metazoa; Chordata; Aves; Passeriformes; Paridae. The record is from RNAcentral.
AUGGAUGCCCUCCUGAAGGAAGAACAGUUUUGUGGAAUUUUAAGGGCUGAGGUGUCACCACCCCAGUGGCAGGUCUUUGAGCCUCCACAGAUCUGGAAUAAGCCGCCUCCUUCUUACAAGGACUUGCAUGAGACCCAGAAGGAAACAAACUGGAGAAGCUGUGGUUGCAACCUCAGGCUAGGAGCUUGCAAGGACUGUCUUUGGCCCAUUAAUGCUACUUCUGUUUUUGUCACCCUUCCAAUAGGAGGACUGACAAACCUCCUAUCUAGAAGAACGAAAAAUAAAUUGCCAGUUGAAUGCUCAAUGGAAAAGUGUCUUUAAAGCUGCCAAUGCUACCUUCUUCUGCUGUGAAAGAUGACUUUUAAACUCAAUUUCAGAAAUAAUUAUGCCAGUUGUGGGUUUUACCUGGACUCCUCCUCUUACCUUUUCUAAGGAGCAUUCUCAGGAAGUUUUAGAAUCAGAAUUGUCACUAGCAAGAUGAUGAAAUUCACUGUACUUUGUAGAAAUAGCUUUUCUGUAUAAUAUGCUUGGAAUAAUUUCCCCAAACCUAUUCAAAAUAUAAUUUUCUAGCAGGGAAAAAUAUAAACGGUCUGAUGAAGGUUUAAAAAAUACAAACUCAUACCUUCUAUGACAAAAAAAAAAAAGAGGGGUAAUCUCUAAAAUCUUCAGGGAAAGAAGCAAGGCCUCUCCCUCACUGGUGACUGAGCUUUGAUUUGCACCACGGUAAGAGUUACACACAGAAUAUACCAUUAGAUAGAUCUGCCUAGUUCUUGUUUCAGAUACACAGGAAAACAGUUCAUUUUUGAAUCUCACUACAACAACCUAAUUUCCUAAAUAGUUGUUCUUUGAUUUUGGGAAGGCACUAAAAACUGAUUCCAAAUUAGCUGCUUUAGGAGGAGAGAAGAGCUACUUGAGCAAUGGGCUCAGACAUAGAUGUCAUGUGGGGAGCCUGGAAAAAGGGGGAAGGGACAGUGCAGCUCACUUGCAUGAUCCCAGUGCUUAAGCAUUGCAGUAAAUUCCACUGAUAGCACAGUGAGAGAUGGUCUCACUUUCCUGUGUUAAAUCCGUUUUAGUAGCUGUAGGCAAAAGGGUCAAAUAUUUAACUUGGUAUUAAACUUAGCAAAAUAAAGUGAGUUUCUUGUGCA